CUUUAACCCUGAUUGCAAUAGAAAUCCUUGCCUUUUUAGGCAAGAUUGACAUGGAAAGCAGGAAUAGGG
RNAcentral lists this small RNA (69 nucleotides) under Flavobacterium aciduliphilum. Its description in RNAcentral is "Flavobacterium sp. JJ013 Flavo-1 RNA". It matches the Rfam family "Flavo-1 RNA". Lineage: Bacteria; Pseudomonadati; Bacteroidota; Flavobacteriia; Flavobacteriales; Flavobacteriaceae. The record is from Rfam by way of RNAcentral.